RNAcentral lists this long non-coding RNA (416 nucleotides) under Elaeis guineensis (African oil palm). Its description in RNAcentral is "long non-coding RNA (EGUI_LNC050165)". The record is from RNAcentral. Lineage: Eukaryota; Viridiplantae; Streptophyta; Magnoliopsida; Arecales; Arecaceae.
GGGUUAUGCAUUGAUAUUCUGACUAUUAUUUAGCUCAUGAUUCUAUUUUCGGCUCGUCAUAGGAUGUAAAUAUGGUAUUCCAACCCCACAUAAGAUAUAAAUAUGGUAUUCUAACUCACUGCAUAGGGUAUAAAUAUAAUUCUAUUUUCGAUCUAGCCAUAAGGUAUAAGUGUACUCAAAGUUAAAGGCUAAUGAGUUGAAUGGAAUCUAUUUUGAAUUGGAUUGUCAAAUAUGAUUGGUUUUGAAUCAGAAUUAUAAUUACGUGUAUGAAUAUUUAAAAGAUAAUGGAAUUAUUGGAUUUAUAUUUUGAAAAUGAAUUGAUUAUGCUUUUACAUUGAUUAAUGAUAAAUUAUAUUUUGACUAUUGUAUCUUAUAUUAUCACAUGAAUUAUCUAAUUAGGAUAUUCAUUACUUACU